GAUUUAUGAUGACAUUGGACCUUGUUUGAACGUGAUGAUAUUAAAAUUUGAGCUUAAAUGACACUCUGAAAUC
Small nucleolar RNA from Choloepus hoffmanni (Hoffmann's two-fingered sloth), 73 nucleotides. Ensembl annotates it as small nucleolar RNA, C/D box 107. Its record names the gene SNORD107. NCBI's taxonomy places the organism in Eukaryota, Metazoa, Chordata, Mammalia, Pilosa, Megalonychidae. The record is from Ensembl.